AAAGGUAAGCUACUAAGAGCGAAUGGUGGAUGCCUUGACUGGUAAAGGCGAUGAAGGACGUACUAGACUGCGAUAAGCUACGGGGAGCUGUCAAGAAGCUUUGAUCCGUAGAUUUCCGAAUGGGGCAACCCAAUGUAUAGAGAUAUACAUUACCUAUAUAGGAGCGAACGAGGGGAAUUGAAACAUCUUAGUACCCUCAGGAAAAGAAAUCAAUAGAGAUUGCGUCAGUAGCGGCGAGCGAAAGCGCAAGAGGGCAAACCCAGUGCUUGCACUGGGGGUUGUAGGACUGCAAUGUGCAAGAGGUAAGUUUAGCAGAACAUUCUGGAAAGUAUAACCAUAGAGGGUGAUAGUCCCGUAUGCGAAAAACAAACCUUAGCUAGCAGUAUCCUGAGUAGGGCGGGACACGAGGAAUCCUGUCUGAAUCCGGGUCGACCACGAUCCAACCCUAAAUACUAAUACCAGAUCGAUAGUGCACAAGUACCGUGAGGGAAAGGUGAAAAGAACUGAGGUGAUCAGAGUGAAAUAGAACCUGAAACCAUUUGCUUACAAUCAUUCAGAGCCCUAUGUAGCAAUACAGGGUGAUGGACUGCCUUUUGCAUAAUGAGCCUGCGAGUUGUGGUGUCUGGCAAGGUUAAGCAAACGCGAAGCCGUAGCGAAAGCGAGUCUGAAUAGGGCGCUUAGUCAGAUGCUGCAGACCCGAAACGAAGUGAUCUAUCCAUGAGCAAGUUGAAGCUAGUGUAAGAACUAGUGGAGGACUGAACCCAUAGGCGUUGAAAAGCCCCGGGAUGACUUGUGGAUAGGGGUGAAAGGCCAAUCAAACUUCGUGAUAGCUGGUUCUCUCCGAAAUAUAUUUAGGUAUA
This 860-nucleotide ribosomal RNA is filed under the name Campylobacter jejuni. Its description in RNAcentral is "partial 23S ribosomal RNA". It matches the Rfam family "Bacterial large subunit ribosomal RNA", at positions 1 to 878 of the family's 2925-position model. Lineage: Bacteria; Pseudomonadati; Campylobacterota; Epsilonproteobacteria; Campylobacterales; Campylobacteraceae. The record is from RNAcentral.